AGACCCGAAACCCGGUGAUCUAGCCAUGGGCAGGUUGAAGGUUGGGUAACACUAACUGGAGGACCGAACCGACUAAUGUUGAAAAAUUAGCGGAUGACCUGUGGCUGGGGGUGAAAGGCCAAUCAAACCGGGAGAUAGCUGGUUCUCCCCGAAAGCUAUUUAGGUAGCGCCUCGUGAAUUCAUCUCCGGGGGUAGAGCACUGUUUCGGCUAGGGGGCCAUCCCGGCUUACCAACCCGAUGCAAACUGCGAAUACCGGAGAAUGUUAUCACGGGAGACACACGGCGGGUGCUAACGUCCGUCGUGAAGAGGGAAACAACCCAGACCGCCAGCUAAGGUCCCAAAGUCAUGGUUAAGUGGGAAACGAUGUGGGAAGGCCCAGACAGCCAGGAUGUUGGCUUAGAAGCAGCCAUCAUUUAAAGAAAGCGUAAUAGCUCACUGGUCGAGUCGGCCUGCGCGGAAGAUGUAACGGGGCUAAACCAUGCACCGAAGCUGCGGCAGCGACACUCAGGUGUUGUUGGGUAGGGGAGCGUUCUGUAAGCCUGCGAAGGUGGCCUGUGAGGGUUGCUGGAGGUAUCAGAAGUGCGAAUGCUGACAUAAGUAACGAUAAAGCGGGUGAAAAGCCCGCUCGCCGGAAGACCAAGGGUUCCUGUCCAACGUUAAUCGGGGCAGGGUGAGUCGACCCCUAAGGCGAGGCCGAAAGGCGUAGUCGAUGGGAAACGGGUUAAUAUUCCCGUACUUGGUGUUACUGCGAAGGGGGGACGGAGAAGGCUAUGUUGGCCGGGCGACGGUUGUCCCGGUUUAAGCGUGUAGGUGUGUGUUCCAGGUAAAUCCGGUUCACUUUAACACUGAGGCGUGAUGACGAGGCACUACGGUGCUGAAGCAACAAAUGCCCUGCUUCCAGGAAAAGCCUCUAAGCAUCAGGUAACAUCAAAUCGUACCCCAAACCGACACAGGUGGUCAGGUAGAGAAUACCAAGGCGCUUGAGAGAACUCGGGUGAAGGAACUAGGCAAAAUGGUGCCGUAACUUCGGGAGAAGGCACGCUGACAUGUAGGUGAAGUGAUUUACUCAUGGAGCUGAAGUCAGUCGAAGAUACCAGCUGGCUGCAACUGUUUAUUAAAAACACAGCACUGUGCAAACACGAAAGUGGACGUAUACGGUGUGACGCCUGCCCGGUGCCGGAAGGUUAAUUGAUGGGGUCAGCGCAAGCGAAGCUCCUGAUCGAAGCCCCGGUAAACGGCGGCCGUAACUAUAACGGUCCUAAGGUAGCGAAAUUCCUUGUCGGGUAAGUUCCGACCUGCACGAAUGGCGUAAUGAUGGCCAGGCUGUCUCCACCCGAGACUCAGUGAAAUUGAACUCGCUGUGAAGAUGCAGUGUACCCGCGGCAAGACGGAAAGACCCCGUGAACCUUUACUAUAGCUUGACACUGAACAUUGAGCCUUGAUGUGUAGGAUAGGUGGGAGGCUUUGAAGUGUGGAC
This 1478-nucleotide ribosomal RNA is filed under the name Salmonella enterica subsp. enterica serovar Infantis. Its description in RNAcentral is "partial 23S ribosomal RNA". It matches the Rfam family "Bacterial large subunit ribosomal RNA", at positions 711 to 2169 of the family's 2925-position model. Lineage: Bacteria; Pseudomonadati; Pseudomonadota; Gammaproteobacteria; Enterobacterales; Enterobacteriaceae. The record is from RNAcentral.